UUUCCUUUCUUUUUGUAAAUACUGUUUAAUGCAGAGUGAGCUUCAGAGACUACACCAUACAGGGGUGAAACAGCAUGUGACUUCAUUAGGAUGCACAUAAGUAGACAGCAAUGAUGGCAGACGGUGAGAUUCGUAGGCCCAUGAAGAUAUGUCAAGAAAAGAACUGAGGUAAUCCAAAAGAAAGUACUUGGGGACUUCCAGUAAGUUCUUGAGCCAACAGAAAUACACCCAAAUGCCAAAGCACUCCCUCGCUAAAGUCAAUACGUGAACAUGUGAAUAUUAUUUUGGAGGCCGUUGUGCUAAUGCGAGUGUGUUAAGGUCAAUAAGUCGAAAGGAAAGAUGUUGGCAUAAGAUCGAUGAAAGUGAUUUAUUG
This is a long non-coding RNA of Mustela erminea (ermine), 373 nucleotides long. RefSeq lists it as uncharacterized. The transcript is spliced from 3 exons. The record is from RefSeq and is a predicted model, not a curated record. NCBI's taxonomy places the organism in Eukaryota, Metazoa, Chordata, Mammalia, Carnivora, Mustelidae.